RNAcentral lists this transfer RNA (75 nucleotides) under Endozoicomonas sp. (ex Botrylloides leachii). Its description in RNAcentral is "tRNA-Arg". It matches the Rfam family "tRNA". Rfam says of the family: Transfer RNA (tRNA) molecules are approximately 80 nucleotides in length. Their secondary structure includes four short double-helical elements and three loops (D, anti-codon, and T loops). The record is from RNAcentral. Lineage: Bacteria; Pseudomonadati; Pseudomonadota; Gammaproteobacteria; Oceanospirillales; Endozoicomonadaceae.
GCUUCUGUGGUGUAAUGGAUAACACGCAGCCCUCCGGAGGCUGAAAUAUAGGUUCGAUUCCUAUCAGAAGCGCCA